This is a non-coding RNA of Punica granatum (pomegranate), 1847 nucleotides long. NCBI's taxonomy places the organism in Eukaryota, Viridiplantae, Streptophyta, Magnoliopsida, Myrtales, Lythraceae. The record is from RefSeq and is a predicted model, not a curated record.
AAAAGCAAAACCCACUAGGAUCGGAGGAGGAAGUGGGGGCGGCCCCGCCGGCUGCCUACCUCUCGAACGGGGUCGCCGGCGUGGUCAGUUACUUAUGAUGCUCUUUCAUUUCGGAUCCAUCGUGCCUGCUCUCUCAAUUUCGAAUUAUCCAUCCGCUGCCUCGCCAAACUCAACCACUCCAUACUCUCUAAUAACUGUUCACUGCAGACGUUCCAAAAAAUCCUCCUCUCUACCGGCCUCACAACAUCGCAUCCUUGGCUCCGCUCUUCUCCUCGGCGCAUUCUCCUCACAACGCUGUUCUACGCAUUUCUUCCCGCACAAUCUCGCUCUGUGUUAAUUGGCCUUCCUAAUUUGCUCGACCUGAUCAGCCCUGUAGCGCAGAUACAUUCGGUUCAGCCAUUCCAUGGUCCACUCUUUAAAUAGGACAAACUAUUAAGGUAAAAUAUCGUCCCUUCUUGUUCUUUGGAUGGGUGCUCAAAUUUUCAUACCCAACAUUGCUUUUGUGUUCUUUCAAUGCUUGCAUCUUGAUCUAUUAAAAACCUGUUGCUCUUUGUUCCACGUUUUAUCUCCUUUGGAGUUAUUGAACAUUUCUAGCCAACCUGACCUUUGAGCCCAUAAAGUGUUCGAUAUAUUGCCCCAUACAUUCCCUGCGUAUGCAACUGAAGUGCAUAUUCGGCUAAUUGGUUUAGGAUGGCUUUUAUUUCAGACACAUUGUAAAACUCAGGUUUGGAUUUUGUUUCUGGGCUUUGUUUGGCCAUGUAGGAGAUAAUGAUUCCCAAUUUAGUAUGUAGUCAAACCAAUAGCAACCCCAAAAAUAAUAUUUACUAGCUAUUUUCAAACGGUGUCAAAAGUUUGUUCUUUCAAAAAUAUGUAUUCACCAAUGCAAAUCUUUUGUUGUUUGUACAGUCUAGACUUGGUGAUGUUCAUGAUAAGUUGAUUGAAGAAAGUUGAGUGGAUUAGCUUAUAACCGUUGUUGCCUGCGUCUAAAAAUUAACAAAGGUUUCUUUUAGUUGGAAAUUAAAAAUCAACAAAGUAAUGAUUGCUAAAUUAGUUGAUUCGAAAGAGUGGGAUUAGUCCUCUUGAUUAAUAGUUGCAAUAAGCUCCUAUUUUUUAUGCUAAAAGAGUUUAUACAUCAAUUAACAACAUGUAGUUUUCGAAAGGCUCCAGUAGAUUAUUCAUAUUAUGUUAUAGUGUAUUUAUUCCUAUUGGAAUGAUACAAGAAAAGAACAUGAAGAGAUGGAGAAUCAAGUACACUAAGCACUUGAAGUAUGAAGCCCAUAGUCAAUCCACAAUGGUCUCUUAGUCCUCCACUCUUCAAUCGACAAGGUACCUAUAGGUUCGCUACAUCUUCCCUUCUCUUUCACAAGGCGAUCAAGGACACCAGCAUACAGCAGUAACCUCAGGAGCAAAAUAUUUACCUUCUCAGCUGAUGCUUGCUUGCGGUCUUGCCCCGAUUUCCAAUUAUCAAAAUUGAGGAAAAAGAGAUUUCAUUCACCGUGCACUCAACUGAAGAAAGCAAGAGAGUCGUAACUCAAUGCGACCCCUAAUUGGUUCAAUAUGAGCGAAAUAAAAUCCCAAGCUUGAGUUCCAUUUCUAGCCCUAAUUCUAUGCGCGAGAAUGAUGGAAGGAGGAAGAGAUAUUGGAGGGGAAUAUUGUGGCUAGGUCCCGCCAAUUGGACUAAAGGUAAUACACGCUAAAGAUAAUGGCUAGCUGGACCAAUAUUAACGGCCACGUGGGCAAUUCACGACGGAGGAUGGAUAGAAGUUGACAGCAUGCUAGAUUAGGAAAGGAUGUGAAACGUUGUGCUUUUUUAAAAUAAUUUUAAAGUGCAUAGGUGGUAUUGGUGA